This 429-nucleotide ribosomal RNA is filed under the name Gemmatimonadota bacterium. RNAcentral describes it as "Gemmatimonadetes bacterium partial 16S ribosomal RNA". It matches the Rfam family "Bacterial small subunit ribosomal RNA", at positions 355 to 776 of the family's 1533-position model. Lineage: Bacteria; Pseudomonadati; Gemmatimonadota. The record is from RNAcentral.
UAGGGAAUCUUCGGCAAUGGACGAAAGUCUGACCGAGCAACGCCGCGUGAGUGAAGAAGGUUUUCGGAUCGUAAAACUCUGUUGUUAGAGAAGAACAAGGUCGUUAGUAACUGAACGUCCCCUGACGGUAUCUAACCAGAAAGCCACGGCUAACUACGUGCCAGCAGCCGCGGUAAUACGUUGGUGGCAAGCGUUGUCCGGAUUUAUUGGGCGUAAAGCGAGCGCAGGCGGUUUCUUAAGUCUGAUGUGAAAGCCCCCGGCUCAACCGGCUAGGGUCAUUGGAAUCUGGGAGCCUUGAUUGCAGAAGAGGAGCGUGGAUUUCCGUGUGUAGCGGUGAAAUGCGUAGAUAUAUGGAAGAACUCCAGUGGCGAAGGCCGCUCUCUGGUCUGUAACUGACGCUGAGGCUCGAAAGCGUAGGGAUCAAACAGG